GGCUGGUCCAAGUGCAGUGUGUUUACAACUAAUUGAUCACAACCAGUUACAGAUUUCUUUGUUCCUUCUCCACUCCCACCGCUUCACUUGACUAGCCUUAA
Callithrix jacchus (white-tufted-ear marmoset) is the source of this 101-nucleotide Y RNA. It matches the Rfam family "Y RNA". Rfam says of the family: Y RNAs are components of the Ro ribonucleoprotein particle (Ro RNP), in association with Ro60 and La proteins. The Y RNAs and Ro60 and La proteins are well conserved, but the function of the Ro RNP is not known. NCBI's taxonomy places the organism in Eukaryota, Metazoa, Chordata, Mammalia, Primates, Cebidae. The record is from Ensembl.